RNAcentral lists this ribosomal RNA (407 nucleotides) under uncultured bacterium. RNAcentral's name for it is "partial 16S ribosomal RNA". It matches the Rfam family "Bacterial small subunit ribosomal RNA", at positions 30 to 526 of the family's 1533-position model. The record is from RNAcentral.
AUUGAACGCUGGCGGCAGGCCUAACACAUGCAAGUCGAGCGGAGCGGCGGACGGGUGAGUAAUGCCUAGGAAUCUGCCUGGUAGUGGGGGAUAACGUCCGGAAACGGGCGCUAAUACCGCAUACUCUCAGAUGAGCCUAGGGCGGAUUAGCUAGUUGGUGGGGUAAAGGCCUCCCAAGGCGACGAUCCGUAACUGGUCUGAGAGGAUGAUCAGUCACACUGGAACUAGUGCACGGUCCAGAAUACUAAGGGAGGGAGCAGUGGGGAAAAUUGGACAAUGGGCGAAAGCCUGAUCCAGCCAUGCCGCGUGAGUGAAGAAGGUCUUCGGAUUGUAAAGCCCUUUAAGUUGGGAGGCGUUACCAACAGAAUAAGCCCCGGCUAACUUCGUGCCAGCAGCCGCGGUAAUUC